GCUGGGGUAGCUCAGCUGGCAGAGCAGCUGAUUCGUAAUCAGCAGGUCGAGGGUUCGAGUCCCUUCCUCAGCUCCA
This 76-nucleotide transfer RNA is filed under the name Youngiibacter fragilis 232.1. Its description in RNAcentral is "tRNA-Thr". It matches the Rfam family "tRNA". Rfam says of the family: Transfer RNA (tRNA) molecules are approximately 80 nucleotides in length. Their secondary structure includes four short double-helical elements and three loops (D, anti-codon, and T loops). Further hydrogen bonds mediate the characteristic L-shaped molecular structure. tRNAs have two regions of fundamental functional importance: the anti-codon, which is responsible for specific mRNA codon recognition, and the 3' end, to which the tRNAs corresponding amino acid is attached (by aminoacyl-tRNA synthetases). tRNAs cope with the degeneracy of the genetic code in two manners: having more than one tRNA (with a specific anti-codon) for a particular amino acid; and 'wobble' base-pairing, i.e. permitting non-standard base-pairing at the 3rd anti-codon position. The record is from RNAcentral. Lineage: Bacteria; Bacillati; Bacillota; Clostridia; Eubacteriales; Clostridiaceae.